Molecule: ribosomal RNA, 2255 nt
Filed under: Microbispora sp. GKU 823
Lineage: Bacteria; Bacillati; Actinomycetota; Actinomycetes; Streptosporangiales; Streptosporangiaceae
Description: bacterial LSU rRNA
Rfam family: Bacterial large subunit ribosomal RNA
Source: RNAcentral
AGUGGACGCGAGCAUCUUUGUGGCCAAGUUGUUUAGGGCACACGGUGGAUGCCUUGGCAUCAGGAGCCGAUGAAGGACGUGGGAGGCUGCGUUAAGCCUCGGGGAGUCGCCAACCAGACGUUGAUCCGGGGAUGUCCGAAUGGGGAAACCUAGCACCAGUCAUGUGGUGUUGCCGCCGUCUGAAUGUAUAGGGCGGUUGGUGGUAACGCGGGGAAGUGAAACAUCUCAGUACCCGUAGGAGAAGAAAACAAAUUAGUGAUUCCGUGAGUAGUGGUGAGCGAAAGCGGAGGAGGCUAAACCGUGCGCGUGUGAUAGCCGGCGGGCGUUGCGUGUGCGGGGUUGUGGGACCUUCCGGGGGAGACCGCCGUCUCUUCAGGCAGUGAGAAAUCGGUGGGGUAGUCGAACGCUCUGGGAAGGGCGGCCGUAGACCGUGAUAGCCGGGUAGGCGAAAUCUUGCCGACUGCUGGGAGUGUUCCCGAGUAGCACGGGGCUCGAGGAAUCCUGUGUGAAUCUGCCAGGACCACCUGGUAAGCCUAAAUACUUCCUGGUGACCGAUAGUGAACGAGUACCGUGAGGGAAAGGUGAAAAGCGCCCCGGUGAGGGGUCGUGAAAUAGUACCUGAAACCGUGUGCCUACAAGCCGUAGGAGCGUAAACGGGUUCGCCCGUUUGUGAUGUGACUGCGUGCCUUUUGAAGAAUGAGCCUGCGAGUUAUGGUGUGUGGCGAGGUUAACCCGUGUGGGGGAGCCGUAGCGAAAGCGAGUCUGAAUAGGGCGUUUGAGUCGCAUGCUGUAGACCCGAAGCGGGGUGAUCUACGCAUGGGCAGGUUGAAGCGUGGGUAAGACUGCGUGGAGGACCGAACCCACCAGGGUUGAAAACCUGGGGGAUGACCUGUGUGUAGGGGUGAAAGGCCAAUCAAACUCCGUGAUAGCUGGUUCUCCCCGAAAUGCAUUUAGGUGCAGCGUUGCGUGGUGCUUGCCGGAGGUAGGGCUCUGGAUGGCUGAUGGGCCCGACAAGGUUACUGACGUCAGCCAAACUUCGAAUGCCGGUAAGUUGAGCGUGGCAGUGAGACUGCGGGGGAUAAGCUCCGUGGUCGAGAGGGAAACAGCCCAGAUCACCGACUAAGGCCCCUAAGCGUGUGCUAAGUGGGAAAGGAUGUGGAGUCGCAGUGACAACCAGGAGGUUGGCUUAGAAGCAGCCAUCCUUGAAAGAGUGCGUAAUAGCUCACUGGUCAAGUGAUUCUGCGCCGACAAUGUAGCGGGGCUCAAGUACACCGCCGAAGUCGUGGCACCGCCGGCUGACUUUGUCAGUUGGUGGUGGGUAGGGGAGCGUCGUGCGAGCCGGUGAAGCCGCCGAGUGAUCGUGUGGUGGAGGUCGUGCGAGUGAGAAUGCAGGCAUGAGUAGCGAGUCAGAAGUGAGAAUCUUCUGCGCCGGAUGACCAAGGGUUCCUGGGGCAGGUUCGUCCGCCCAGGGUAAGUCGGGACCUAAGGCGAGGCCGACAGGCGUAGUCGAUGGACAACGGGUUGAUAUUCCCGUACCCGCUGUGAUGCGCCCAUAUCGAAUCCAGUGAUACUAAGGGUCCUUAAGCCCUCCGAGCCUUCGGGUUUGGGGUGAGGCUGAACGCCUGGCCUGAUCUGGUAGUAGGUAAACGAUGGGGUGACGCAGGAAGGUAGCCCAGCCCGGGCGGUGGUUGUCCCGGGGUAAGCAUGUAGGGCGAGAGAUAGGCAAAUCCGUCUCUCAUGUGCCUGAGGUGUGAUGCCGAGCCGAUUGUGGCGAAGUGGGUGAUCCUAUGCUGCCGAGAAAAGCCUCUAGUGAGUGUCGCGGCGGCCCGUACCCGAAACCGACUCAGGUGGUCAGGUAGAGAAUACCAAGGCGGUCGGGUGAACUGUGGUUAAGGAACUCGGCAAAUUGCCCCCGUAACUUCGGGAGAAGGGGGACCUUUACUGGUGAUCGGACUUGCUUCGUGAGCUGGUGGGGGUCGCAGUGGCCAGGGGGAAGCGACUGUUUACUAAAAACACAGGUCCGUGCGAAGUCGUAAGACGAUGUAUACGGACUGACGCCUGCCCGGUGCCGGAACGUUAAGGGGACCGCUUAGCACUCUUCGGGGUGCGAAGGUGAGAACUUAAGCGCCGGUAAACGGCGGUGGUAACUAUAACCAUCCUAAGGUAGCGAAAUUCCUUGUCGGGUAAGUUCCGACCUGCACGAAUGGCGUAACGACUUCCCCGCUGUCUCAACCACAGGCCCGGUGAAAUUGCAG